AGGGAAUCUUCCGCAAUGGACGAAAGUCUGACGGAGCAACGCCGCGUGAGUGAUGAAGGUUUUCGGAUCGUAAAGCUCUGUUGCCAGGGAAGAACGUCCGUUAGAGUAACUGCUAACGGAGUGACGGUACCUGAGAAGAAAGCCCCGGCUAACUACGUGCCAGCAGCCGCGGUAAUACGUAGGGGGCAAGCGUUGUCCGGAAUUAUUGGGCGUAAAGCGCGCGCAGGCGGCUGUUUAAGUCUGGUGUAUAAGCCUGGGGCUCAACGCCGGGUCGCACUGGAAACUGGACGGCUUGAGUGCAGAAGAGGAGAGUGGAAUUCCACGUGUAGCGGUGAAAUGCGUAGAGAUGUGGAGGAACACCAGUGGCGAAGGCGACUCUCUGGGCUGUAACUGACGCUGAGGCGCGAAAGCGUGGGAGCAAAC
This 423-nucleotide ribosomal RNA is filed under the name uncultured bacterium. Its description in RNAcentral is "bacterial SSU rRNA". It matches the Rfam family "Bacterial small subunit ribosomal RNA", at positions 356 to 773 of the family's 1533-position model. The record is from RNAcentral.